GAUGAACGCUGGCGGCGUGCCUAAUACAUGCAAGUCGAGCGAAGCGGGGACGGGGGAGUAACACGUGGAUAACCCCCUAAAAGACGGGGAUAACAUCGGGAAAACGGAGCAAAUCCGGAUACGUAAGGAUGGAUCCGCUGUGAAGUAGCUAGUUGGUAAGGUAACGGCUUACCAAGGCAACGAUGCACAGCCGACCUGAGAGUGUGAUCGGCCACACUGGAACUAAGACACGGUCCAGACUCCUACGGGAGGCAGCAGUAGGAAUUCUUCCGCAAUCAGCGAAAGCCUAGCAGAGCCACGCCGCGUGAGUGAUGAAGGUCUUCGGAUCGUAAAACUCUGUUAUUAGGGAAGCGGUACCUAGUCAGAAAGCCACGGCUAACUGCGUGCCAGCAGCCGCGGUAAUUC
RNAcentral lists this ribosomal RNA (405 nucleotides) under uncultured bacterium. Its description in RNAcentral is "partial 16S ribosomal RNA". It matches the Rfam family "Bacterial small subunit ribosomal RNA", at positions 28 to 526 of the family's 1533-position model. The record is from RNAcentral.